GAAGGGAUAGCUCAGUGGUAGAGGGUGUGCUCAGCAUGCUUAAGAUCCUGGAUUCAAUCCCCAGUACCUCCA
RNAcentral lists this transfer RNA (72 nucleotides) under Camelus bactrianus (Bactrian camel). It matches the Rfam family "tRNA". From Rfam's summary of the family: Transfer RNA (tRNA) molecules are approximately 80 nucleotides in length. Their secondary structure includes four short double-helical elements and three loops (D, anti-codon, and T loops). The record is from Rfam by way of RNAcentral. Lineage: Eukaryota; Metazoa; Chordata; Mammalia; Artiodactyla; Camelidae. RNAcentral also lists the same sequence under 2 other names.